UGGGAACGUACCCUUCGGUUCGGAAUAACCCGGGGAAACUCGGGCUAAAAACCGGAUACGUCCGUAAGGAGAAAGAUUUAUCGCCGAAGGAUCGGCCCGCGUCGGAUUAGCUAGUUGGUGAGGUAACGGCUCACCAAGGCGAUGAUCCGUAGCUGGUCUGAGAGGACGAUCAGCCACACUGGGACUGAGACACGGCCCAGACUCCUACGGGAGGCAG
This 217-nucleotide ribosomal RNA is filed under the name uncultured bacterium. RNAcentral describes it as "partial 16S ribosomal RNA". It matches the Rfam family "Bacterial small subunit ribosomal RNA", at positions 118 to 351 of the family's 1533-position model. The record is from RNAcentral.